RNAcentral lists this ribosomal RNA (433 nucleotides) under uncultured bacterium. RNAcentral describes it as "partial 16S ribosomal RNA". It matches the Rfam family "Bacterial small subunit ribosomal RNA", at positions 29 to 507 of the family's 1533-position model. The record is from RNAcentral.
CACGAACGCUGGCGGCAUGCCUAACACAUGCAAGUCGAACGAGACCUUCGGGUCUAGUGGCGCACGGGUGCGUAACGCGUGGGAACCUGCCCUUAGGUUCGGAAUAACUCCCCGAAAGGGGUGCUAAUACCGGAUAAUGUCUUCGGACCAAAGAUUUAUCGCCUUUGGAUGGGCCCGCGUUGGAUUAGCUAGUUGGUAGGGUAAAAGCCUACCAAGGCGACGAUCCAUAGCUGGUCUGAGAGGAUGAUCAGCCACACUGGGACUGAGACACGGCCCAGACUCCUACGGGAGGCAGCAGUGGGGAAUAUUGGACGAUGGGCGAAAGCCUGAUCCAGCAAUGCCGCGUGAGUGAUGAAGGCCUUAGGGUUGUAAAGCUCUUUUACCCGGGAUGAUAAUGACAGUACCGGGAGAAUAAGCUCCGGCUAACUCCGUG